Molecule: ribosomal RNA, 316 nt
Filed under: uncultured Flavobacteriaceae bacterium
Lineage: Bacteria; Pseudomonadati; Bacteroidota; Flavobacteriia; Flavobacteriales; Flavobacteriaceae
Description: bacterial LSU rRNA
Rfam family: Bacterial large subunit ribosomal RNA
Source: RNAcentral
AAUAAGCUAAAUAAGAGCGUAUGGGGAAUGCCUAGGCUCUCAGAGGCGAUGAAGGACGUGAUAAGCUGCGAAAAGUUGCGGGGAUUGGCACAUACAAAUUGAUCCGCAAAUAUCCGAAUGGGGAAACCCACUAUAUUGAAGAUAUAGUAUCCGCAAGGAGGCAAACCCAGGGAACUGAAACAUCUAAGUACCUGGAGGAGAAGAAAACAAAAGUGAUUCCGUUAGUAGUGGCGAGCGAACGCGGAGUAGCCCAAACCAAUGUUGUUACGGCAAUAUUGGGGUUGUAGGACUGCGACAUUGUAUGAAUCAUGAAUUA